GCAAGAAAGCCUUGGUCCAGAUACAACCCUUUCUGAGAGACAUCUCCUUCUUCCAGACUUAACAGGCCUGUUGGCAGGAUGGGGCAUUUGGAGGACAUUGGGAAAGGCAGUCCGGAGACCGGCUGGAAAUAACUGUUGGGUCUUUGCCACUGAAGCAGAAAGGGAAAGGUAGAGACACUUGCAGUCUCUGUUCCUCCCAUUUUUCUUCAUGUGAGGUCUUCAUCUUCCAGUGUUUGAAGCUUUGUGGUCUGAGCUGGAAAGAGUUCACUGAGGAUCAAAAAAAUGCCGAAGGUCAGAAACAUCCUGGGACACUGCUUCUGUCAAAUCUACAUCACUGGACUAUUUCUACCUCCUCACUAAAGAUGGUCAGAAAAGAAGCCAAAUACAAGUAUGAGAGUGAGUUCUAAAAACAAGAAGCAAAAUUAUAAGACAGGUAUGUACUUGUAUUUCUCAUUUAUAUAACAGUUAAGAAUCAAAACCAGGAGCGGGAUGGCCUUUCAUUAUUCUUCUCUUUUUUCUUGCUGCAUUAUACACAAAGAUGUAUAUCUGUGAGGGGAGUGAAACUAGUGUUUGAAAAAUCUUUGUACAAUGUAAGAUGGAGAAGCUCUGUUAGGCUCAUUUUAUUUCUGGUGUAAAUCUAUUGUAGUUACACAUAAGUCAUUGGAAUUGCAUGGCUGGAAGGAAAGGAUCUAAAUUCACUAUGAUACUUGGAGUCUAAAAAUAGGUUGGCUGAGAUUCUUUUAAAUAGAAAAGGAAGGUGAGGAGUGUUUUUAUUUGAAGAAAUAACUGAGCCAGAGUAAUUCAGCUGAUUAAGCUCAGUUCAUCUUACUUUUCAUACUUUGACCAGCACUGGAUCAUCAUAGGGAAAAACAGAUCCUUUCCAAGAGUUUCACUGAGAUGGACCAAGGUGGAAUCAGGGACUUGGACACCUGGAGAGACUGGAAUCUAGAUCUGAAUUUCAUUGCUCAGUUCUACAAGCUGAAUUGGCGGAUCCAAGCUUGAGAGCUAAGCUUGAGAUGUAGAUAUCUUCCACUUGCAUGGAAGAAGAACUUCCAGAAGUUGCUGUAGAUAAGAGCUGUGGUGUUUCAGCUCAUCACCGGUUUGUAAUGCCAUUGUAAGCAGGAAAUGGAGAUACAGACCAGACUUUUGUUAGAGUUUUAGCCAGUUCUGGAGUAUGCUUUUAAACUGAGUCUCCCUGCAGUUCAGUCAAAACUCUGCUCAAGUCCUCAAAUGUGAGAAUAAUCAUCCAAAGAGUUUACAGAGAAACUGUGAAGAAUUUUAGUGCAGAAAUUUCAAGUACAGCCGAAAGGACUAUUUUGCUUUUACUUGUUCAAUGAAAAGAUUCGCCUGUUCUGUUUUCAGACAAGAGAUACACAAAAAUCUCAGUUCUGUGGGCCCUGACUGUGU
This 1407-nucleotide long non-coding RNA is filed under the name Parus major (Great Tit). RNAcentral describes it as "lncRNA (ENSPMJG00000016040.1)". Lineage: Eukaryota; Metazoa; Chordata; Aves; Passeriformes; Paridae. The record is from RNAcentral.